This 455-nucleotide ribosomal RNA is filed under the name uncultured bacterium. RNAcentral describes it as "bacterial SSU rRNA". It matches the Rfam family "Bacterial small subunit ribosomal RNA", at positions 340 to 784 of the family's 1533-position model. The record is from RNAcentral.
UACGGAAGGCAGCAGUGGGGAAUAUUGCACAAUGGGCGAAAGCCUGAUGCAGCUAUGCCGCGUGUAUGAAGAAGGCCUUAGGGUUGUAAAGUACUUUCAUCGGGGAGGAAAAAACAAAACUAAUAAUUUUAUUUCUUGACGUUACCCGAAAAAGAAGCACCGGCUAACUCCGUGCCAGCAGCCGCGGUAAUACGGAGGGUGCUAGCGUUAAUCAGAAUUACUGGGCGUAAAGAGCACGUAGGUGGUUUUUUUAAGUCAGAUGUGAAAUCCCUGGGCUUAACCUAGGAACUGCAUUUUGAAACUGAAAUACUAGAGUAUCGUAGAGGGAGGUAGAAUUCUAGGUGUAGCGGUGAAAUGCGUAGAUAUCUGGAGGAAUACCUGUGGCGAAAGCGGCCUCCUAAACGAAUACUGACACUGAGGUGCGAAAGCGUGGGGAGCAAACGAGGAUUAGGAUA